This 452-nucleotide ribosomal RNA is filed under the name uncultured bacterium. RNAcentral describes it as "bacterial SSU rRNA". It matches the Rfam family "Bacterial small subunit ribosomal RNA", at positions 34 to 498 of the family's 1533-position model. The record is from RNAcentral.
CGCUGGCGGCGUGCUUAACACAUGCAAGUCGAACGGUGAUGACCAGCUUGCUGGUCUGAUCAGUGGCGAACGGGUGAGUAACACGUGAGCAACCUGCCCUUCACUCUGGGAUAACCACGGGAAACGGUGGCUAAUACCGGAUACGAGACGCACACGCAUGUGUAGUGUCUGGAAAGAUUUAUCGGUGGGGGAUGGGCUCGCGGCCUAUCAGCUUGUUGGUGGGGUAGUGGCCUACCAAGGCGACGACGGGCAGCCGGCCUGAGAGGGCGACCGGCCACACUGGGACUGAGACACGGCCCAGACUCCUACGGGAGGCAGCAGUGGGGAAUAUUGCACAAUGGGCGCAAGCCUGAUGCAGCGACGCCGCGUGAGGGAUGACGGCCUUCGGGUUGUAAACCUCUUUCAGCAGGGAAGAAGCGCAAGUGACGGUACCUGCAGAAGAAGCGCCGGCU